Molecule: long non-coding RNA, 230 nt
Filed under: Carica papaya (papaya)
Lineage: Eukaryota; Viridiplantae; Streptophyta; Magnoliopsida; Brassicales; Caricaceae
Description: long non-coding RNA (CPAP_LNC007152)
Source: RNAcentral
CAACAUCACCAAUAUUUUAUAAGGAUGCAACAUGCAAGAACAUUGCUUUCUACUUUUGUUGUUGUAUUUUUGUUUUGUGUUUGUUUGGCAAAGCAAUUAUGAUAAAGAGCAAAGAAGAUAGAGUUUAUAAGGCUGAAAGGGAACUGCAGAAAUCUAUUUUUUCCAUUGACAGAAGUACGCUUUUAUACAAGAAUUUGAGCAACUAACAGUCUAAAAAUCUGCAGAAAAUA